This 253-nucleotide ribosomal RNA is filed under the name uncultured bacterium. RNAcentral describes it as "partial 16S ribosomal RNA". It matches the Rfam family "Bacterial small subunit ribosomal RNA", at positions 524 to 776 of the family's 1533-position model. The record is from RNAcentral.
UACGUAGGGUGCGAGCGUUAAUCGGAAUUACUGGGCGUAAAGCGUGCGCAGGUGGUGAUGUAAGACAGAUGUGAAAUCCCCGGGCUCAACCUGGGAACUGCAUUUGUGACUGCAUCGCUGGAGUGCGGCAGAGGGGGAUGGAAUUCCGCGUGUAGCAGUGAAAUGCGUAGAUAUGCGGAGGAACACCGAUGGCGAAGGCAAUCCCCUGGGCCUGCACUGACGCUCAUGCACGAAAGCGUGGGGAGCAAACAGG